This 20-nucleotide unclassified non-coding RNA is filed under the name Mus musculus (house mouse). RNAcentral's name for it is "oocyte_clustered_small_RNA12026". The record is from RNAcentral. Lineage: Eukaryota; Metazoa; Chordata; Mammalia; Rodentia; Muridae.
UGCUUUCUUGUUUGCAGGUG